CAAAAAGGAGAGGGACUGCUCAGGAUGAACGCUGGCGGUCUGCUUAACACAUGCAAGUCGAACGGAAUCCUUCGGGAUUUAGUGGCGGACGGGUGAGUAACACGUGAGAAUCUGCACUCAGGAUGGGGACAACAGCGGGAAACUGCUGCUAAUACCCAAUGUGCCGAAAGGUAAAAGAUUUAUCGCCUGAGAAUGAGCUCGCGGCCGAUUAGUUAGUUGGUGGGGUAAUGGCCUACCAAGACGGCGAUCGGUAGCUGGUCUGAGAGGAUGAGCAGCCACACUGGGACUGAGACACGGCCCAGACUCCUACGGGAGGCAGCAGUGGGGAAUUUUCCGCAAUGGGCGCAAGCCUGACGGAGCAAGACCGCGUGGGGGAGGAAGGCUCUUGGGUUGUAAACCCCUUUUCUCAGGGAAGAAGUUCUGACGGUACCUGAGGAAUCAGCCUCGGCUAACUCCGUGCCAGCAGCCGCGGUAAUACGGAGGAGGCAAGCGUUAUCCGGAAUUAUUGGGCGUAAAGCGUCCGUAGGUGGUGGGGCAAGUCGGCGGUUAAAGACUGGGGCUUAACUCCAGAAAGGCCGUGGAAACUGCACCACUAGAGGGCAGUAGGGGUAGAGGGAAUUCCCGGUGUAGCGGUGAAAUGCGUAGAGAUCGGGAAGAACACCAGUGGCGAAAGCGCUCUACUGGACUGCAACUGACACUCAGGGACGAAAGCUAGGGGAGCGAAUGGGAUUAGAUACCCCAGUAGUCCUAGCCGUAAACGAUGAACUACGUCCCC
Molecule: ribosomal RNA, 775 nt
Filed under: Planktothricoides raciborskii
Lineage: Bacteria; Bacillati; Cyanobacteriota; Cyanophyceae; Oscillatoriales; Oscillatoriaceae
Description: bacterial SSU rRNA
Rfam family: Bacterial small subunit ribosomal RNA
Source: RNAcentral